This 1626-nucleotide ribosomal RNA is filed under the name Salmonella enterica subsp. enterica serovar Paratyphi A. RNAcentral's name for it is "bacterial SSU rRNA". It matches the Rfam family "Bacterial small subunit ribosomal RNA". The record is from RNAcentral. Lineage: Bacteria; Pseudomonadati; Pseudomonadota; Gammaproteobacteria; Enterobacterales; Enterobacteriaceae.
GACGAAAAAUGAAUACCAAGUCUCAAGAGUGAACACGUAAUUCAUUACGAAGUUUAAUUCAUUGAGCAUCAAACUUUUAAAUUGAAGAGUUUGAUCAUGGCUCAGAUUGAACGCUGGCGGCAGGCCUAACACAUGCAAGUCGAACGGUAACAGGAAGCAGCUUGCUGCUUUGCUGACGAGUGGCGGACGGGUGAGUAAUGUCUGGGAAACUGCCUGAUGGAGGGGGAUAACUACUGGAAACGGUGGCUAAUACCGCAUAACGUCGCAAGACCAAAGAGGGGGACCUUCGGGCCUCUUGCCAUCAGAUGUGCCCAGAUGGGAUUAGCUUGUUGGUGAGGUAACGGCUCACCAAGGCGACGAUCCCUAGCUGGUCUGAGAGGAUGACCAGCCACACUGGAACUGAGACACGGUCCAGACUCCUACGGGAGGCAGCAGUGGGGAAUAUUGCACAAUGGGCGCAAGCCUGAUGCAGCCAUGCCGCGUGUAUGAAGAAGGCCUUCGGGUUGUAAAGUACUUUCAGCGGGGAGGAAGGUGUUGUGGUUAAUAACCGCAGCAAUUGACGUUACCCGCAGAAGAAGCACCGGCUAACUCCGUGCCAGCAGCCGCGGUAAUACGGAGGGUGCAAGCGUUAAUCGGAAUUACUGGGCGUAAAGCGCACGCAGGCGGUCUGUCAAGUCGGAUGUGAAAUCCCCGGGCUCAACCUGGGAACUGCAUUCGAAACUGGCAGGCUUGAGUCUUGUAGAGGGGGGNNNNNNNNNNNNNNNNNNNNCCCCCUGGACAAAGACUGACGCUCAGGUGCGAAAGCGUGGGGAGCAAACAGGAUUAGAUACCCUGGUAGUCCACGCCGUAAACGAUGUCUACUUGGAGGUUGUGCCCUUGAGGCGUGGCUUCCGGAGCUAACGCGUUAAGUAGACCGCCUGGGGAGUACGGCCGCAAGGUUAAAACUCAAAUGAAUUGACGGGGGCCCGCACAAGCGGUGGAGCAUGUGGUUUAAUUCGAUGCAACGCGAAGAACCUUACCUGGUCUUGACAUCCACGGAAGUUUUCAGAGAUGAGAAUGUGCCUUCGGGAACCGUGAGACAGGUGCUGCAUGGCUGUCGUCAGCUCGUGUUGUGAAAUGUUGGGUUAAGUCCCGCAACGAGCGCAACCCUUAUCCUUUGUUGCCAGCGGUCCGGCCGGGAACUCAAAGGAGACUGCCAGUGAUAAACUGGAGGAAGGUGGGGAUGACGUCAAGUCAUCAUGGCCCUUACGACCAGGGCUACACACGUGCUACAAUGGCGCAUACAAAGAGAAGCGACCUCGCGAGAGCAAGCGGACCUCAUAAAGUGCGUCGUAGUCCGGAUUGGAGUCUGCAACUCGACUCCAUGAAGUCGGAAUCGCUAGUAAUCGUGGAUCAGAAUGCCACGGUGAAUACGUUCCCGGGCCUUGUACACACCGCCCGUCACACCAUGGGAGUGGGUUGCAAAAGAAGUAGGUAGCUUAACCUUCGGGAGGGCGCUUACCACUUUGUGAUUCAUGACUGGGGUGAAGUCGUAACAAGGUAACCGUAGGGGAACCUGCGGUUGGAUCACCUCCUUACCUUAAAGAACUGUUCUUUGAAGUGCUCACACAGAUUGUCUGAUGAAAA